This 1004-nucleotide long non-coding RNA is filed under the name Homo sapiens (human). RNAcentral describes it as "HSALNT0033145". Lineage: Eukaryota; Metazoa; Chordata; Mammalia; Primates; Hominidae. The record is from RNAcentral.
CCCAUCUCUUCCCACCGCCCGUCAGCAACACAGCUCUCCCUUUCUAGAAACAGGGUUUCCCCUCCAGGCUUGGAUUCUUAAAUCUAAAAAGAGCCUCUCACCUGAGGCCUUCACCUGAGAGCUGGAGCCUGUGCGAUGGAUUAUCUGGACAGGGACCCCAAUGAACAGGGCUCUGCUGGAGUGAGGAAGCUGACUGAGGGAAGAACCAGAAGGCUGCCAAAAUACAAUUGUGUGCCUUUAAAGGAAAUAACAACAAGAAUUAGGAGCGCCCUGGAGGCAAGGUCUGCUGCUGGGGAAACCAAACCACAGUAACUUCAGAAAUAUAUACUUGGAAUAUGUCAUGUAUUAAUGGGUAAAGACACCGUGGAUAUGAAGGAAAUCACCUAUGGGAGAAUAUUAAGAAGAGAAGAAGGGGCUGCUGGCUGUAGUGAAAUGUAUAAAAAGGAGAGUGUGAUCCUAGUUUCUGUCUCUAACUAUGAGUUACUUGUGAUUAACUUCAAAUAUUCUCUCCAUAAGAAGAGGCCCAGAAGAAGAAGAUGAGCUUCAGUUAUUCUAGCACAACUGCUGUGAUAUUUGUAAAUAUUCAAAACCUAUAAUAAAAUGUAUAAAAGGAAACUCCAUUUGAAAUGAUUUGAAAUCUCACAUGGAAAUCUAUUUUUUUUAAAUCAGAGCUUAGUAAGAGAAAAUAACAGAACAUUGUAAUAAUUGAAUUACAAAAACAACUGAAUUUUGGAAAAUUUAUUUUCUCUCAUGUGAUGUGUGUGUAUGUGUGUGUGUGUGUGUGUGUAUCUAUUUAGCAAUGGCGUUAUUCUAUCAAAUGGGAUUAGAUUCAUUUUUGACUCCUGCUAAGCACCCUGUCCCCCCAACCCCAAGAUUAUGAAAGCGGAAGGGAAGGGGGAGAUAGGAAAUAUGACUUAUUUAAACUGUAUAAAAAUGCUGAAAUAAAAUGAACAUUCAAAACUCAUGUGAUUGAAUUUAAUCUUUCUUUUGUUCAACACAUUCAC